CUUUACUGUCUCGAUAAAUAAGUGUUAUACUCUCAAACCAAGAGCUCUAUGUUUUUUUCCCAAUUCUCUUCUCAUCCUCACUGGAAUUGGAGGAGUGAGUGAGUGACCAGCUGUUUUGCUGAGCUGCUUGCCAGGUAAACUACAAGAGGAUUAACUACUGUUUAAAACAAAACAGAAAAACACCUAUGCCUUUGUUGCUACAGAUCUGUCUCCCUGUUUGGACAGAUUCUAGAAUACUCUAUUAGACAGUAAUAAUGGGAACAGUGGCUUUCAUACUUGGGGUUUGGAGGAAAGGCCAGCUGCAUGGUUUGCAUAUGCAGGUGGAAAUGGGACAGUGUGUUUCUGCCUUUGCUACCAAGCAGUCUGAUGUAAGUACUUAAAGAACUGGCACAGUUACCUCCCAUGAACCUUCUCUUCUAUCAAGUCAUGGCUGAGGAUGGUGGGGAGCACAGAAUUGCCUUCCCUCUCCCAGGAGCAGGGACCAGGACAUAAACUGCCAGGAUGUGUUCUGAAAAUGAGUACUAGAAACAAGUAGAUGAGAAGAAAUUGCAUGCUUUCCUCCCCGGGAUAUAUCAAGAUUUGCUUUUAUUUUGAGGAAGAUGGAAUUUUAACACCAGCCCACAGAACAUUCAUUUGGAGAAAUUGAAAUGCUUUGUUUUGGCAUUUUUGAUUGAAAUAAAACACUGUAUUCCUGAA
Molecule: non-coding RNA, 696 nt
Organism: Meleagris gallopavo (turkey)
Lineage: Eukaryota; Metazoa; Chordata; Aves; Galliformes; Phasianidae
Source: RefSeq, a predicted model, not a curated record